UGCACUCUCCACUCACUCCUCCACCUUAUCUACUCCCUCACACUCUUCUCCUACCUCUCCCCACGAGUUGCUGCUCCUCCUAAGCUCCAUGGCCGGCCAUGGCCAUGGAAAACACUCCAAGAUGAAGCUCCCUCCUCCCUCAAGCUCCUCCUCACCAUGAGAGCAUCCCUCUCCUUCUUCUCACCAACCCUAGAUGGUUUUAUCUCCUCUUAUUCUUCCUCCAUUGCUAAGAUUGGAUCAUGAUGCAGGUGCAUGUUGGUCCAAGCAUGGAGAAGCUUGAGCUAUCCUCAGAUCUGAAGUUCUUGAGCAAAAUCCAAAUUGAGUGAUUCAAAGUUUCACAGAUGUAUAUUGAAAAGAUCUACAACUUGGCAUUGGUCUCAUCCUCAAAUUAGUUACGGACUCGCCUCGGUAAAUAAAGUUCUGUAAACAUGCAGAACCACUGUUUGUUAGAUUUGUUCCGUUUUAAAAAACCUUUUUGAGCAAACUCAACUGUGGGUGAAAGCCCUCUUCAGUACCUUCAUUUUGGCGUCGGUUUUACUUCAAAUGACCUCCAGAAACUGAAAUGGUUCACAGAUCAAGAUCUGGUCAGAUCUGACUUUGUCGAAUUAAACCAGGAGCUUGGAAACGAAUUUGUGAAUGAAACAAAUUGGGUAAGAACCACCUAUUCAAUACCUUUCAGAUACAGAUGACCUCAUAUUUUUAUGAGUUUUGUACGAUUUUUGGUGAAUUAAACUUGUUCUGUGUGUUCUGCAGACAUGGCUGUUAGCUUUUAAAUCACCAAAAAUCCAUCUUUGAACCUAAUUGAGUGAUUCCAAUUCUGUAGGACUACUGAAUGUUUUCUUAAUCAUCUCAAGCAAGUUUCAAACAUUUAUCUAUUAUGAAAAUCCAGAGGUAAAGCAAAUGGUAAAGACAUACAGUAACCUUGUCAAUCCAUUUGUGAGAGUUUCAGAAACAAUUUGAACCCAAAUCCAAUUGUGUAUGCAUCUCUGUUUAAAAAUCUUUCAAAUGCCAGUGGUCUCAUAUUUUUAGGAUUUUGCUGCGAUUUAUGGCUUACAGAUCUUGUUUUCUGUACAGUCAGAUUCAAAGAAAUUCCUAAAUUUGUAGGAUUAAUAUUUUUGGGUGAAUCCAAAUGGGUUUGUCUUGUAUUAGUACUGGCCAUCUAGGAAAAAUACUGUUAGUCUCUAUUCAUGCAUUUUGGUUACUGAUUUUAACAUGUGUGUGCUAUAUGAGUUGUUGGUCCAAAACUUUUUGGUUUAUUUAAAACCCUUGACCAACUCUUUUAUUUAGAACUGGGCAACCUUUGUUUUUUUUGCUUGCAAAACAAAACCUCUGCAACUCAACUUUAGCUCUAUGGUUUUUCUUAAGUUUUCAAAUGAUCUGGAAUAUGGUUUGCUUCCUAUUUUGGAGGUAGUGUUAUGUGAACAAAUUAAGUUAGGAAAAUUGUUUUCUACUAUUCCAAAAAUGUUUGAAAAUGUAUUGUGAAUGUGUUUGAUGCCAAACUAAUGCUCUUGUCCUCUUUAUGAUGUCAUCUACUAGGGGAUGUUUGGUUUAUACCAUGGUGAUAACCGAGAGAGGCAAUUGCUAAGUUGUGAUGCACUCAUAUCUCUACUAGAUGCGAACAAUUCCGGAGAAGAAGAAGUGGAAUCGGACGAGGAUUUUAUUUAUGAUUGUUGGGAUUCUUAUAUUGAUGGAGUUGAAGAAGUCCGGGGACAAAUAAGCCAAGGCAAGCCAUCUUUUGAUCUCUCAUUCGGUGUCUAGUUGGAUGUCCUUUGUUGAUGUUCAAAGCACCUUGGUUCUAUGUGUGUUGUUCUCCUUAAUAUUGUCAUCUAUAUUUGGUUGCUAGUGGAGUACUCCCUAGUGGUGAUACUCCACUACUGUCUUUGUGAUUAUGGGAUGCAUGGUAUCAUGUCCGUGCUAUUCCACUUGGUUAUCUUGUAUGCUCAACUUGAGCAUGUUCCAUCUCAAGAUAGUAACUUACACCACACCCACCACUCUUGUAGUCUAAAGGUAUCAAUGUCAUGAUCUUGGCGUUUUCUCAACAUUGAGAGAAAGAUGUUGUGUACCCUA
Lolium perenne is the source of this 2067-nucleotide long non-coding RNA. RefSeq lists it as uncharacterized. Lineage: Eukaryota; Viridiplantae; Streptophyta; Magnoliopsida; Poales; Poaceae. The record is from RefSeq and is a predicted model, not a curated record.